Transfer RNA from Bifidobacterium biavatii DSM 23969, 73 nucleotides. It matches the Rfam family "tRNA". From Rfam's summary of the family: Transfer RNA (tRNA) molecules are approximately 80 nucleotides in length. Their secondary structure includes four short double-helical elements and three loops (D, anti-codon, and T loops). Further hydrogen bonds mediate the characteristic L-shaped molecular structure. tRNAs have two regions of fundamental functional importance: the anti-codon, which is responsible for specific mRNA codon recognition, and the 3' end, to which the tRNAs corresponding amino acid is attached (by aminoacyl-tRNA synthetases). tRNAs cope with the degeneracy of the genetic code in two manners: having more than one tRNA (with a specific anti-codon) for a particular amino acid; and 'wobble' base-pairing, i.e. permitting non-standard base-pairing at the 3rd anti-codon position. NCBI's taxonomy places the organism in Bacteria, Bacillati, Actinomycetota, Actinomycetes, Bifidobacteriales, Bifidobacteriaceae. The record is from Rfam.
GCAUCAGUAGCUCAGCGGCUAGAGCACACGCUUCCCAAGCGCCCCAGCGCCAGUUCGAAUCCGGCCUGAUGCU